UAGUCCUAGCCGUAAACGAUGAGCACUGGAUUGAAGGAAUUCCCAUAUUCUUUUGGUCGUACUGAAAAGUUAAGUGCUCCGCCUGGGGAGUAUGUCCGCAAGGAUGAAACUCAAAGGAAUUGACGGGGGCUCACACAAGCGGUGGAGGAUGUGGCUUAAUUCGAGGCUACGCGAAGAACCUUAUCCUGGUCUUGACAUGUAUGGAUUAACUCUGUGAAAGCAGAGCCACGCCCUCGGGUGGAACAUACACAGGUGCUGCAUGGCUGUCGUCAGCUCGUGUCGUGAGAUGUCGGGUUAAGUCCCUUAACGAGCGAAACCCUUAUUCCUAGUUGCCAGCGGGUAAUGCCGGGGACUCUAGGGAGACUGCCGAUGUUAAAUCGGAGGAAGGUGGGGAUGACGUCAAGUCGCAUGGCCCUUAUGACCAGGGCUGCACACGUCCUACAAUGGCACGGCACAAAGGGAAGUCAACCUCGCGAGAGCAAGCAAAUCCCAAAAAACGUAGCCUAGUUC
This 510-nucleotide ribosomal RNA is filed under the name uncultured bacterium. RNAcentral's name for it is "bacterial SSU rRNA". It matches the Rfam family "Bacterial small subunit ribosomal RNA", at positions 791 to 1294 of the family's 1533-position model. The record is from RNAcentral.